AUCUUAGCGGCGGACGGGUGAGUAAUGCUUAGGAAUCUGCCUAUUAGUGGGGGACAACAUUUCGAAAGGAAUGCUAAUACCGCAUACGUCCUACGGGAGAAAGCAGGGGAUCUUCGGACCUUGCGCUAAUAGAUGAGCCUAAGUCGGAUUAGCUAGUUGGUGGGGUAAAGGCCUACCAAGGCGACGAUCUGUAGCGGGUCUGAGAGGAUGAUCCGCCACACUGGGACUGAGACACGGCCCAGACUCCUACGGGAGGCAGCAGUGGGGAAUAUUGGACAAUGGGCGCAAGCCUGAUCCAGCCAUGCCGCGUGUGUGAAGAAGGCCUUAUGGUUGUAAAGCACUUUAAGCGAGGAGGAGGCUACUUUAGUUAAUACCUAGAGAUAGUGGACGUUACUCGCAGAAUAAGCACCGGCUAACUCUGUGCCAGCAGCCGCGGUAAUACAGAGGGUGCAAGCGUUAAUCGGAUUUACUGGGCGUAAAGCGCGCGUAGGCGGCUAAUUAAGUCAAAUGUGAAAUCCCCGAGCUUAACUUGGGAAUUGCAUUCGAUACUGGUUAGCUAGAGUGUGGGAGAGGAUGGUAGAAUUCCAGGUGUAGCGGUGAAAUGCGUAGAGAUCUGGAGGAAUACCGAUGGCGAAGGCAGCCAUCUGGCCUAACACUGACGCUGAGGUGCGAAAGCAUGGGGAGCAAACAGGAUUAGAUACCCUGGUAGUCCAUGCCGUAAACGAUGUCUACUAGCCGUUGGGGCCUUU
This 749-nucleotide ribosomal RNA is filed under the name Acinetobacter rhizosphaerae. Its description in RNAcentral is "bacterial SSU rRNA". It matches the Rfam family "Bacterial small subunit ribosomal RNA", at positions 89 to 833 of the family's 1533-position model. Lineage: Bacteria; Pseudomonadati; Pseudomonadota; Gammaproteobacteria; Moraxellales; Moraxellaceae. The record is from RNAcentral.